Molecule: small nucleolar RNA, 135 nt
Organism: Chanos chanos (milkfish)
Lineage: Eukaryota; Metazoa; Chordata; Actinopteri; Gonorynchiformes; Chanidae
Product: small nucleolar RNA SNORA57
Exons: 1
Source: RefSeq, a predicted model, not a curated record
CCUCCUUUCUUGGCAUGCGCGUGGUGUUCCCGUACUCGUGUGUGUAUGUCUGGAGGAAUAAAAUCGUCCAGUGCUAUGUCUUCGGUGCCAGCAUGUUUCUGUCGGCUGGUCCUAUCCUCAAUCACUGGUACACCG